Molecule: non-coding RNA, 318 nt
Organism: Pelobates cultripes (western spadefoot toad)
Lineage: Eukaryota; Metazoa; Chordata; Amphibia; Anura; Pelobatidae
Source: the annotation of a GenBank genome assembly
CUCAAGUAUGUCAGGGUGAUUAUGGGUGAUGGCUCCCGAUUUUGUUUUGAUUUUGGAGAUGAAUGUAGUUUGUCUAGUGUUCUCCAACAUUUUAGCUAAGAAUUUGCCACUUUUGCCCCCUGUGUGAAUAGUAAGUAUGUUUCGUCAGUAAGAGCUUCUUUUUGAUUCAUGUGUUAAGUAGUUGUUGCAGUGCGGAUCUCUGGGAAACUAGUUUUUUGCAUACAUAUAGAGAUUGAUUUUGUUUAUGUUGUUCCUCUAGGGUCCUGAUAUCGUGGAGCAGAUCAGUGAUUCGGGUGUUACAUUGUUUUUUAUUUUUAG